Molecule: ribosomal RNA, 464 nt
Filed under: marine bacterium 13687
Lineage: Bacteria; Pseudomonadati; Pseudomonadota; Gammaproteobacteria; Alteromonadales; Alteromonadaceae
Description: bacterial SSU rRNA
Rfam family: Bacterial small subunit ribosomal RNA
Source: RNAcentral
UGCUCAGAUUGAACGCUGGCGGCAGGCCUAACACAUGCAAGUCGAGCGGUAACAGAGAGGUGCUUGCACCUUUGCUGACGAGCGGCGGACGGGUGAGUAAUGCUUGGGAACAUGCCUUGAGGUGGGGGACAACAGUUGGAAACGACUGCUAAUACCGCAUAAUGUCUACGGACCAAAGGGGGCUUCGGCUCUCGCCUUUAGAUUGGCCCAAGUGGGAUUAGCUAGUUGGUGAGGUAAUGGCUCACCAAGGCGACGAUCCCUAGCUGGUUUGAGAGGAUGAUCAGCCACACUGGGACUGAGACACGGCCCAGACUCCUACGGGAGGCAGCAGUGGGGAAUAUUGCACAAUGGGCGCAAGCCUGAUGCAGCCAUGCCGCGUGUGUGAAGAAGGCCUUCGGGUUGUAAAGCACUUUCAGUCAGGAGGAAAGGUUAGUAGUUAAUACCUGCUAGCUGUGACGUUACUG